GACGAACGCUGGCGGCGUGCUUAACACAUGCAAGUCGAACGAAAAUGCCCAGCUUGUUGGGUGGGCUAGUGUGGCGAAGGGGUGUAACACACGUGUAUCCUCUGCUCUUGACUGUGGGAUGACUUCAGGAAACUGUGGCUUAUACGGGAUAGGCACCUCUGCUGCGUAGUGGGGGUGGGAAAGUUUCGGUGGUUUGGGAUGGACUCGCGGCUUAUCAGCUUGUUGGUGGGGUAUUGGCUUACCAAGGCUUUGACGGGUAGCCGGCCUGAGAGGGUGACCGGCCACACUGGGACUGAGACACGGCCCAGACUCCUACGGGAGGCAGCAGUGGGGAAUAUUGCACAAUGGGCGGAAGCCUGAUGCAGCAACGCCGCGUGCGGGAUGACGGCCUUCGGGUUGUAAACCUCUUUCGGCUGGGACGAAGCGUGAGUGACGGUAACGGGUAAAGAAGCGCCGGCUAACUACGUG
Molecule: ribosomal RNA, 468 nt
Filed under: uncultured bacterium
Lineage: Bacteria
Description: partial 16S ribosomal RNA
Rfam family: Bacterial small subunit ribosomal RNA
Source: RNAcentral